RNAcentral lists this unclassified non-coding RNA (519 nucleotides) under uncultured Glomus. RNAcentral's name for it is "SSU rRNA". It matches the Rfam family "Eukaryotic small subunit ribosomal RNA", at positions 569 to 1089 of the family's 1831-position model. The record is from RNAcentral. Lineage: Eukaryota; Fungi; Glomeromycota; Glomeromycetes; Glomerales; Glomeraceae.
AGCAGCCGCGGUAAUUCCAGCUCCAAUAGCGUAUAUUAAAGUUGUUGCAGUUAAAAGCUCGUAGUUGAAUUUCGGGGUUAGUAGGUUGGUCAUGCCUCUGGUAUGUACUGGUCUCACUGAUUCCUCCUUCCUGAUGAGCCGUAAUGCCAUUAAUUUGGUGUUGCGGGGAAUCAGGACUGUUACUUUGAAAAAUUGAGUGUUUAAAGCAAGCUAACGCUUGAAUACAUUAGCAUGGAAUAAUGAAAUAGGACGUUUGAUCCUAUUUUGUUGGUUUCUAGGAUCGACGUAAUGAUUAAUAGGGAUAGUUGGGGGCAUUAGUAUUCAAUUGUCAGAGGUGAAAUUCUUGGAUUUAUUGAAGACUAACUACUGCGAAAGCAUUUGCCAAGGAUGUUUUCAUUAAUCAAGAACGAAAGUUAGGGGAUCGAAGACGAUCAGAUACCGUCGUAGUCUUAACCAUAAACUAUAGCCGACUAGGGAUCGGAUGAUGUUAAUUUUUAAUGUACUCUAGUUCGGUACCGG